This 1830-nucleotide long non-coding RNA is filed under the name Gossypium barbadense (sea-island cotton). RNAcentral describes it as "long non-coding RNA (GBAR_LNC011879)". The record is from RNAcentral. Lineage: Eukaryota; Viridiplantae; Streptophyta; Magnoliopsida; Malvales; Malvaceae.
UUUAACUCCCUAUUUUCACAUAAAUCCCUAAAUUUCAAAAUUUUCACAAUUUAGUCCAUAUUAUACAAAAUUUACUAUUUAUUCUACAAUUUAAUCUUUUUUCAUUUCUAACUUAAAAAUCUAUCAAUUUAAUCUCUAAUACUAAAAUUAUUCAACAAAGACAUCACUUAAAAACUCAAUAAUUUUUAAAAUUUUGAAAUGGGUCGAGUAGUAUUUAAUACCGAGAUUCCAAAAACAUAAAAAUUACAAGAAAAUAGACUAAAUUGACUAACCAACUAAGCUUGAAACUUUGAAACCGUAAUUUUCCCUUUUCCUUCUUUUUCUCCUGCUUCGUUUUUGCUUAUCUGUUUCUUUCACUAUUUCUUUUUCUUUUAUUUCUUUGUUUUAUUAUUAUAUAAUAUAUAUAAUAUAUAUAAUACAUAUAUUUAAACAUUAAGAUAUAAUAUUAUAAUAUUAUAAUAUAUGUAAUAGCCAAUUUUGGCUUAAAAGAACCCAAACCAAUAAAACGAAAAACAAACCCACCAAAUAAAUGAUAAAGUCCAAAUUGGCAGUCCAUUUUAUAAAUAUCAGGGCCCAAUUCAUUAAAACCAAACCCACUACCCAAAUUUUAUAAACCCUAGCCCAAAUCCCAGCCCACUAUCUUAAAAAUUUUCAGCAGACAAAAAAACCUAGCCACUAAGCCUUCAGCCACCGAUCCUCACCAGCAAGGCCACCAUGCGCGCCACCACCACUCGGCUUGCCUCCACGUGCCUCUGACACUUGCAAAACGAAGCAAACACGCAAGCAGUAAAAACAAGAAAGAAACAACAAAUAGAAGAAACAAAUAACAAAAUGAUAAGAAAAAUAGAUGUAAAAGGUUGUAAUCCGGCUUUAAAAGCCGAAGGAUCCCCUUUUUAUUUUUUUUACGAAACAGUAAGCAAUCAAAAAGCAAAAAUAGAAGCAAAAAAAGGUUGAUUUCGAUUUCCAUUUUCGUGUUCUUUUCUUUUUUAUAUUUUUUAUCUUUUAUUUUUAAAUCUUUUCUAAACAAAAAUAAUAAGAGAAGGAGAGGGAGAGGGCUUAUCCGGAAUCCCUGUGAUUGUGUCACCGGAGACUCUCACCGUUGCUGAAAUUAGACCCAAAAUGAGGAGAGAAGAGACUUUCUUCCUUUCAAUCGACGGGCUGACGAUGCAAAGGCUAGGGUUCAUAACCCUAGCAGAGAGUUGAGAAACAAAGGGGAGAGGGUGUUUUGUUCUUUUCUUGAAAAAUAAAAGAAGAAACGGCAGAUUGAAAAAGAAGGAAGAUUUUGGUUUUAUUUCAUCUUUGAAAUGACGUCGUUUGGUGGGGUGAGGGUUUGCACAUUCUCCCUAAAGGGAAAAUUUGUGCGAUUAGUCCUUUUCAUUCGCAACUCCAUUCAAUCGGACCCCAUUUCCUGUUUUCUUUUGUUUUUUUAAUUUUAACCCUCAGAUUUCGUUUGGUUUUUGAUUUGGUCCUUUGUGCUAUCAGCGUAAACGCGCGCAGAGCAUUUAGGGGAUUUUUUUCAUCUAGUCCCCGCUAGUUUCGGCGCGUUUCGUUUAGAUCCCUGAUUAACUUUCCAGUAUUUAUAAUUUUGUACCCCGAAUUUUAACUUGUUUUUAACCAUGUCCUAAAUCUAUUUAAUCCAUUUAUUAACAUCUUUUAAAACAAAAUUCAUUUAUAUGUUAUUUCAAAUAUUUUAUAUGUUAUUUACUUUACAUCUAUUCUAACUUAUUUUAAUAUAUUGUUUGUUUAAAUUCUUAUUAUUUAUUUUAACUUGCUUUAUGCAUAUAUUUUAUCUUGAUCUAUUUUAUAUGUAUUAUUUAUUUUAUAUUCCUU